This 74-nucleotide transfer RNA is filed under the name candidate division WS2 bacterium. Its description in RNAcentral is "tRNA-Gln". It matches the Rfam family "tRNA". Rfam says of the family: Transfer RNA (tRNA) molecules are approximately 80 nucleotides in length. Their secondary structure includes four short double-helical elements and three loops (D, anti-codon, and T loops). The record is from RNAcentral. RNAcentral also lists the same sequence under 1 other name.
UGGGGAGUCGUCUAACGGUAGGACGGGGGACUCUGGAUCCCUUAGUAGUGGUUCGAAUCCAUUCUCCCCAGCCA